Molecule: ribosomal RNA, 471 nt
Filed under: uncultured bacterium
Lineage: Bacteria
Description: bacterial SSU rRNA
Rfam family: Bacterial small subunit ribosomal RNA
Source: RNAcentral
UGCAGUCGAGCGAGAAGGCCUUCGGGCUGAGUACAGCGGCGGACGGGUGAGUAACGCGUAGGAAUCUACCUGGUAGUGGGGGACAACAUGGUGAAAACCAUGCUAAUACCGCAUACGCCCUACGGGGGAAAGCGGGGGACCUUCGGGCCUCGUGCUAUCGGAUGAGCCUGCGUUGGAUUAGCUUGUUGGUGAGGUAAAAGCUCACCAAGGCGACGAUCCAUAGCUGGUCUGAGAGGAUGAUCAGCCACACUGGAACUGAGACACGGUCCAGACUCCUACGGGAGGCAGCAGUGGGGAAUAUUGCGCAAUGGGCGAAAGCCUGACGCAGCCAUGCCGCGUGUGUGAAGAAGGCCUUAGGGUUGUAAAGCACUUUCAAUUGGGAAGAAAGGUUGUACGUUAAUAGCGUGCAACUGUGACAUUACCUUUAGAAGAAGCACCGGCUAACUCCGUGCCAGCAGCCGCGGUAAUACG